GGGUUUGUACCUCUUUCGCCUCUCCAAGGGGGUGGUAGGCCUUGGAAAUACUAUAUUGAUGGUCACUCACUACACAUAUACUAUGCCCUACUAAAUAUGAUUUUUAUAUAAGCAUCAUUAUACAUAUCAUCUCAUUAAUAUGCUAUCUAUCGGGUACGAUUAUGCAUUUUGCCUAUGAUGUCCAUCCCUUGUUGCAUUGCAUUGCAUCC
RNAcentral lists this long non-coding RNA (209 nucleotides) under Solanum tuberosum (potato). RNAcentral describes it as "long non-coding RNA (STUB_LNC005846)". The record is from RNAcentral. Lineage: Eukaryota; Viridiplantae; Streptophyta; Magnoliopsida; Solanales; Solanaceae.